RNAcentral lists this transfer RNA (69 nucleotides) under Kaloula conjuncta (Philippine narrowmouth toad). RNAcentral describes it as "tRNA-His". It matches the Rfam family "tRNA". From Rfam's summary of the family: Transfer RNA (tRNA) molecules are approximately 80 nucleotides in length. Their secondary structure includes four short double-helical elements and three loops (D, anti-codon, and T loops). The record is from RNAcentral. Lineage: Eukaryota; Metazoa; Chordata; Amphibia; Anura; Microhylidae. RNAcentral also lists the same sequence under 4 other names.
GUGAAUAUAGUUUAACUAAAAUCCUAGGUUGUGGUCCUAGAAAUGAAGGCUAACAUCCUUCUAUUCACC